UUUGAGUCACCCAGAUUUUAUGAAUCUUCCUGUCACUUUACACAAAGCUUAGCUAAUGGAAAAAACAGAGGACUAGAAUCAUGUCCAUGGUUUCUGAGCCUUUUAUUGGCCAACGACGUCUGCAAAGCUACUUGCUAUCAUAAGUAACUAGGGUCAGAACCACCGUGGCCGAGAAUAUCUAGUCAACCUUGGACACAACUGUCACAAAACCAUAUAACCCACAGUGAGAGGUUGGAAAACAUACUGGAGGCUAUUGCUUAUCUCUGAUUCUUCUCAAAUUUUUCAGAAACUCUAUUCCUUAAGUCCCAGGUGCAAACUACAUCUUUCCAUUUGUUGUGACAGAUUUGUGCUAAUAGAUGGUGUUGGCAUCUCAUGAUAUAUUGGACCAUCAGAUUUCCUGCUGACAAAAUCUUGGAUAGGUUUGUAAGCCCAAAUCAACCUGGUAGAAAAUACCAUAUUGUCUCUUCAGGGACAAGGCUCUAGUUUCUGAUUUCCUGAGUGCCUCGGGAAGGUUAUUGCCAUUGGAAAUGAAAGCUUGAUUGAUUAGAACAGAGAUGUGCCUUUUAAAAGAUUGAAUUGCUGCCCUUCCAGGAUCAAAUUCAACUCUCAAGAGAGAGGCUGCCCUUAUAAUUCUUUUUUCUCCCCAGGCGUUGUGAUUCUUUUUCUCAUGAAAUAGCAAAUUGUGGAAGAUCAUGCUGUGUGACUAGUCUUGUGUAAACUGUCCCCAGACCUGGGUCUAGAGAUUGUAAUCUAUUCGUAGAAAGCUGAGAAACUCCACAAAGUGCAGGCAAAGCACGAACUGUUUUCUCACUUCAAAUGACGUAUGCGGGAGGGUGCUCGUAAUGGGAGUGGACAUUCAGUGAGAAAGUUAAAAACUGAAGAGCACUUGGUGAUGUCCUUGCAGGCUGUCCUGGCAUGCCCGUGGACACCCAUACCUCCGUACCAUUGUAACUGUAACUUCCAUCUGAUUGCACUCAGUUGCCUGUGUCUCAUUGCCCUGCCACAAAUGGCGGGCAGUCUCUACCCUUCUCUUGAAGCAGUACUUUUCUGUCUAGUUCAGAUGAUGAUUGUGCUCAAGUCCCGUCGAAGUCAAGCUCUAAGUGGCUCCAAGGCAAAUUGAAACCUUGUCUCUUAAUGGGACACACAAGCGAAGUAGAUACUCAGAGACGUUCUAGGCGGGGAAUUAUUCUGAGUCAAACCACCUCUCGUCCCCAACCCACGAUAAACUGGCACUUGCACAACAGCAUCAACCAACUGGUCUGAGGGUCAGCUGCAGCUCUGCUGGCCUGUGCUGGGCUCUACAUGUCUUCUCAUUCUGAAAACCAAGUUGAAGCUGAUCUCUGGGACAGCAAAAGGGCCAGUGGAAACUUGCAAUGCUUCUGAAAUAAUCUGUUCAGUCAUGACAAACAUUCCAUCCAUUCUUGUUCCAUUUGCCAAAGCAAGUCACAUAGCCAAGUCCAAAGCCAGUGGGGUGAGUAUGUAUACUCCACCUACCGAGAAGAUUGGCAGUGGAAGGGAGAGGACAAAUAACUGUGAACAAAGAAUGGAGUCUUCUCCAAUUUGCUCUUCUGCCCACAAGAUACUUUUACUUCUCCCAAGAUACUCAAAACUACCAGACGCUAGGCUCAGAAGUCCAGAAUCUGGCACUACACAUCAUGUCUGCUUACUACUCUUCUCGAUUCAGAGACCUACGAAUGAAAAUGACAAGUUGUCUGUCUUCUUCUUCCUAAACACUCAAUAUAAUACAAUGGUGGAGCAGGGACACCUUAUUAAAAAAAUAGAAAGAAUGGGAGGUAGAUACCUGUCACUGUUUCCUAGGGAUUCUGAUAUUCUGCUGAGCAAAAGUUGCAACCUCCCCACUCUGACGCCCCUGGCAACAGUUUCUCUUCAGUUUCUGCCAGGAUUGUCUAUCGUCUCCGUAAAUUUCUACCCAAGAAUCUGGGGAGGACUCCUGCAAAUCAGGGCACGGCUGCAUAACAAAAUGGCCUCUAGCUCGAAAUUCACUGAUGCCUAUAGGAUCACCUUGGUCUUCUCUGGGAAGGUUAGGGAUAGUUAGCAGAAGAGUGGGAGGUGUACCAGAUGGAGAUGAGGCUAUCCUGGAGCAGGCGCAGCUAAUGAUGACACCAAAAUGGGGAGUGAGCAGUUUUGAAUCCUUAGGCCAGUAGACUUUUUGUAGCUUCAGAAGUAUCCUAAGAAAGAAUCUUUAAUGCUGCCUCCUCAUUCUAGGAUUUGGAAGUAUUUUGGUGCUUGCUAUUUACAAGUGCAUGAAGCAAAGUCAGUUUUUCUUUGAACAUAUGCUUUAGCAAAGUUUAGUCUUCCUCCACCUGGUUAUUUGAAGUUAAUUGUGAAGUUAAUUCCCCUAAAUGCAUGUUUCAAAUUACUGACAUUAUUUUCCUUUAGUUUUACUUUUAUAAAAAAGAGACAAACAAUAGAAAAACAAUUCCAAAACAGGAAAUAAAAAAUAAAAUUCUAUGGUGCAGAUUCAACCUAAUGUCGAGGAUUCCUUUUGUUUAUACCGCUGGACUAGGGUAAUUGGUCUACUGGCCUUUAGCCGAGUGUUCUGUGUGUCCAGCAGAGUGCUGUUAGAGGACGUGAGGCAGAGACCCUGCUUGCUGCUCUGGUGCCAGUGCUGGCCGUGAGACUUGGCUGGUGAACUGGUAGGGGGCUCAUUAGAAGUCCACUUGCUUGAGGUACUGAGGGCUCCUGGAAGCAAACCUAGCCUAAGGGAAGAGGCAACCGGAUCUACAGACUUAACCCAGUAAUAAAGCCUUUCUUAGAAGUUGGAUAAGGGGGUGCUGAAUCUGUCACUCUGCUUUUUUCCUGGCUGCUUUCCAAUAAACUCGUGUCCCAGGAAAAAGGGUUCCCUAAAUAAGGACUGUUUCCCUAAAAACUCUCAUAAGACAUUGCGGGUACAAGGAACAGGACCCAGGGGCCGUGAGAUGAUGAUCAGUGGACAUGACAACCUUCAGGGAGGGCAGCAAGUGCGCUAGGCAGAUGUGAUGGUGAUGACUGCGGUGACAGCAGAGGCAGCAGAGCCUGUGGAAGCGCUGUGGAGGCAGCGUGGAAACCUGCGGAUGAGGCUGUCUUGGAUGAGCAUCAUGGUGCUCAGCUGAGGCUGAUUACCACACAGGUAAACAUUAAUGAGCCCUCUAACACAUCCUAAAGGCCCCCAGAAAUAGUGGGGGCAGGGGCACUGAAUGCAGGGAGCAGGCGAGGCCAAGAAGCAGAAGAAUAUUAGUGACAGAAGCUAGGAUUUUCAUUCGCCCUCCUGUGUUUAUAAUCUACAUGGGAAGUCAAGACUGUCACAUUUAAAAACCAGGAAGUGAUAAGAAAUAGGAUAGGAUCAAGCACUGCUGCCUUGUGUGAUUAUAUUUGGCGUAAUUGCAGCGGUCUUUGUGAAGGAGGAGGCAUCUGACAUGGCCUUAAUGAGUGAGUGGGAAUUGAGUAGAGUCUCCUUGAAGUGGUAAGAGCUGGAGGCCAGUAAAAACCUUCUUACAAGCACACUGAGCCUUUGCCAUACGCCAUGGAGCAUAUUUGGAAUUUUCCGCAAUGUGUGGCUAACUCUCACACAACCUUGUCAGGAAGGUUUUAUUUUCACCAUAUAUAGAAGUGAAAAAUGGAGGCUCGGCUGGAUUAAGUGGCCUGCCCAAGGUCACACAGUCAGUGAAGGGAGGGCUGAAUCAAAGGGCAGAUAGCAGGUCUAUCCGUUCCCUAAGAACAGUGGGAAUGACGGCAAGAGAAGGAACAGAAACGUAGUACAACAGGCAGGAAACCUCGAGAGCCAGGCCAAGGGGUUUGGGGGCAGUUCUGCAGGUAAGGGGAAGUCCCUGGUGAUGUUUUGGGGGGAGACUAACAGAAUAUUUUUUGUGGUUGGGCUAAUUAAUCUGGAAGUAAGACAGGAAGACUGAAAACAAAGAUGAUCUAGCUAGAGGGUGCAGUUAGUAAUCUAGGCAUCACAGAAUGAAGAGGAGUGACGAGUUGAACAACAUCUGAAAGGAGGAAACUACAGGCCUUGGUAACUUGUUCCUAAUAAGGACCCAAAGGCUUAAGAAGACCCAGAAGACUCUCCAAGGGAGUGCUGCCUUCUAUUUGGUGGGCCAGUUUCUGGCAAAGCCGGCUCAAACUCUAAGUCCAGGCCGGCACCAGAGGCCAGGGAUCCCCAAACUUGCCAAACUGGAAUUGAAAUUCAAGCUCAGAAAUUGGUUGCAGGAGUGGGCCCAGAGGAAGGCAAUGGGCAGGAUCAGACAGGCUGGUGGUAAAGAUUUUCUCUUGGAUUCUAGAGUCCUCAUCAAGUUUAAUCAAGGGCCUGGGAGACUUCCGUAGACCAGAACCAGGGCCCCACAAAGUGUAGGGAGCAUAGAACUAAGGUGAGAUCAGGAACUUCAUUUGCUCCAAGCAAGGAGACCAAAGGAGGCAACCAGAAACCAGCCUCUUAGAGUUAUAGUUUUAAUUGAACUGUGUUUUAGUGCAGUCUCGCUCUUUGAAAGAGGCUAGGCUCCAUUUCACAUAUGUGACGUUCCCCAGCUGGAAUAGUCUAAGUUAUAAUGCCCUAAUUCUCAUCCUGGGGUGUGUGUGUGUGUGUGUGUGUGUGUGUAAAAUUGUCUAAUGUUAAAAUGUAUCAUUAAUUUAUUUUCCAGGGUCUAGGUUAGAAUAUAACUAUGUGAUAUAUUCCCAAUGAAUUUCAUGGCUACAGUCCAAAUGUAACAAAUGAAUCAUUUAAAACUAUCCACAUAUUGGUGAUGCCAAAUUUUUUUUUCUUCCAUUUUAUAAAUGCAUCAUAUCUCAGCUCAAGAUCAAUCUAUUAACCUUGAAAACAUUUCGAGCUGGAAUGAAGGCUAGCAGUGAACUUUGCAACCUUCCAUGUGACAUUAGUCAUAUUUAGCCAUUAUUAUUGGCUUUGAGUAAUGAGGAGCCAGUUGAGACAGGAACAGUAACAUGGUGGUUACCAAUAAACCAGACUUUAGAGACCACAGGGAAAAUGAAGAGCAUGCAAAAUCAAGCCUUUUAAACCUCAAGCUUGUCUGCCACAAAGCUCCUGCCUUUUUAAAACAAAUUUGAACAUCUUGGCAGCUAUUCUGAUAAAUUACACAUAAAAUACUGUAGUAAAAUCUUUGUUAUGAGAUAAGGAAUUCUUUUCAGUGGAUUUAAAAGGCAACUGAAGACUAAAAAAAUGAUGUGUCUGCCCUCUAACCCUCCAGUGGGAUGAGUGUGAUGGAUUUCCCAGGUGCUAGGACUGUUGACUCUGCCAUGAGCCUGGAGGAACAAUGUAGGUAGAAACUUAGCAGCAUUAUUUUUUAAAUUAAAGUCCAAAUAAAUGUCGCAACUAAAAAUGCCUUAGGCAUACAUAAAUAUAUUAUCCUCCGGAUGAAUUUUAUAUUACAUUAUAUUGAUUUUAACACAAUAUAAAGCAUAAUAUAGAUACUUUUGGAUUCAUGACAUAAAAGAACGGAUAAUGAUUUGCCCAUAUGAGACAUAUGAAAAUACUUCUCUUAAAUUCUUCCUACCAAGGGGCUGGCCUGGUUGCACAGUGGUUAAGUUCGCACGUUAUGCUUCUUGGCUGCCUGGGG
Molecule: non-coding RNA, 5567 nt
Organism: Equus caballus (horse)
Lineage: Eukaryota; Metazoa; Chordata; Mammalia; Perissodactyla; Equidae
Source: RefSeq, a predicted model, not a curated record